This 200-nucleotide unclassified non-coding RNA is filed under the name Hevea brasiliensis (rubber tree). Lineage: Eukaryota; Viridiplantae; Streptophyta; Magnoliopsida; Malpighiales; Euphorbiaceae. The record is from RNAcentral.
UUUCUGCCUUGGAGGUGUCUGUCGAGCUGACAGAGAACCGCGCGGCCGCGGCGGGCCUGGAUCUUUUGCGUUCUAUCGUGUCACCUCUUUCAAGCGCCAGCCGUUCGAUUGAGACGCUCCAAUUCAUAGCANNNNNNNNGCGCCUUAACAUCUAGCGCCGAUGCUGGAGGGAGUAUUCCAGUUCGGAUGAGCAUUCUCCA